This is an RNA transcript of Tripterygium wilfordii, 3189 nucleotides long. It is a transcript of the gene named transcription factor GTE4-like, with no coding region annotated. The transcript is spliced from 6 exons. Lineage: Eukaryota; Viridiplantae; Streptophyta; Magnoliopsida; Celastrales; Celastraceae. The record is from RefSeq and is a predicted model, not a curated record.
CUAAGACAGGGGAUUUACAUUUUGGAGAAAGAGCGAGUUCUAGAGAGAGAAACCCCUUUUUAGAGAGAGAAAGCCAGACGGAGAAGAAGAUUGGAUCCAAACCAAAAAGGUAACUAGCUCGAAGCCCUACUGUGUUUUGUCCUCCGAAUCCCAAAUCGUUCUGUAUCUUUUGUCUAUAUUGAUUGUACAUAUAGCUAGUUCUGUGUCGAUCUGUGCUUGUAGAGGUCAAGAUUCAGUGAAUUGAGGGAGAUUCGAGAGCGGCGUUUUAUCUAUAUAGGGUUGGUUUGGGGAAAGGAACCCUAUAUUGAAUUUUGAUUCUUCGUGAAGUCAGGGUUUUUAGGGUUUUGCUGGAGAGACAAAAGCCCUAAAAGAUUUGUUUUUGAGUGCAAGGAAAACACAGGGGAUUAGGGUUUUUCCUGGGGUACAUGUAUGGCGUCGGGGACUAUAGUUCGAGAAGGAACUGAAGGCAAUAAAGAGAAGCAGCGCUAUACGGAGAGCAAGGUGUACACAAGGAAAGCCGUUAAAGGUCCAAAGAAGAACAACACCGCUGCCCCGACCACUACCACCGACACGAACGCUAACAACAACACCACCAGCUUCACUGCCAAUACUGCAAACAACAACGAGGACAACAAUAAUAUCUCCAGUAAAGAUGGUGGCAUCGAUAAUGACGGGAAUAAGAAGAAUGACUCAAUUCAAGAACUUUCCCAAGCCCUAGCCACUGCGGAAGUGGAUUCCUCCCAGCAGCAGGUUGUUUCACGACUAGAUGUGGGGUCGGAUGACACUUCGAGUCUUAACAGGCAGCAAGAGGUGGAACCUGUCGUAUGUGAACAGCCUUCAGGAAAUGGGGCCAUGAAGGAGGGCUCAGAGGAUCGAUGGAAAGUUAAUGUGCCUUCAUUGUCCAAGAAUGAGGUGCGGGAGUUAAGGAUGAAGCUGGAGGGCGAGUUGGCUAUGGUGAGGAGUUUGGCAAAGAAGAUUGAAGAGAAAAAGGGGCCUAUUAGUGGUGGUGUCUCUGUCAGUGAGGGUAGUGGCAGGGGUGUGGUUAGUCAUUCAUGCGUGCCUUUGAACUUUGGGUUCAAUCAUGGAGUGAAGAUGGUUCAUUCUGAGGUGGCCUCAGCUCGAGUUCCAGUUGAGGGUUUUACUCCUAGGCAGUCUAAGUCCUUGAAUCAAUUGAGUAUACCGACGUUGGAGAAUAGUCAGGGUGCAGUUGAAAAUGUGGAGAAAGAGAAAAGGACUCCAAAGGCUAAUCAGUUCUAUAGGAAUUCAGAGUUUUUACUUGCGAAAGACAAGUUUCCUCCAGCUGAGAGCAACAAAAGGGCAAAAUUGAAUGGGAAGAAGCACGGAGGACGGGAAGUGGGACAUGGGUUUAGGCCAGGUAGUAAGGUUUUUAAGAGUUGUAGUGCUUUGCUUGAGAGAUUGAUGAAGCAUAAGCAUGGCUGGGUGUUUAAUACGCCUGUUGAUGUUAACUCUCUGGGUUUACAUGACUAUUUUACUAUUAUUAAACAUCCGAUGGACUUGGGCACUGUGAAGUCGAAGCUGAAUAAGAACCGGUAUAAGUCACCAAUAGAAUUCGCAGAGGAUGUAAGGCUUACAUUUAGUAAUGCGAUGACUUAUAACCCCAAAGGGCAAGAUGUCCACAUAAUGGCUGAGCAAUUGUCGAAGAUAUUUGAGGAGAAAUUGGCUGUUAUAGAGUCAGAUUAUAAUCGUGAGAUGAUGCUACUCAGUGUUGAUUAUGCAAUGGGAAUUUAUACACCAACUUCAAGAAAGGCCCCUCCUUUUCGGCCACCUCCACUUGAUGUGAGGAGGAUUUUGGAUAGAUCAGAAUCAAUGACACAUCCUCCUCCCCUUCCUUCAGUAAGGACUCCUGCUCCGAAGAAGCCAAAGGCAAAGGAUCCACAUAAGAGGGAUAUGACAUAUGACGAGAAGCAGAAGCUUAGCACAAGCCUUCAGAGUUUACCAUCAGAGAAGCUGGACAACAUUGUUCAGAUCAUUAAGAAGCGGAAUUCAACACUAUUUCAACAGGAUGAUGAAAUUGAAGUGGAUAUUGAUAGUGUUGAUACUGAGACUCUCUGGGAACUUGACCGGUUUGUAACCAACUACAAAAAGAGUUUGAGCAAGAACAAGAGAAGGGCUGAACUUGCCAUGCAAGCAAGAGCAGAGGCUGAGCAGAAUGUCCGACAACAACUCCCAACCCCAGUUGUGGCAGAGGCACCAAAAGAAAUGGAAAUAGCAGAUGGAAGGAAUGGCGCCUCCUCUUUACCUGUUGAAGGGGGAAAAGGGGGGGAUAAUGCAAGUAGGUCAAGUAGUUCAAGCAGCUCUAGCAGUGAUUCUGGAUCUUCUUCAAGUGACUCUGAUAGUGACAGCUCCUCGACAUCUGAGUCCGAUAUAGGGCAUUCACCUAGGACUUGACAUAUUUUGUUCAGGAAUAUUUUUGUAUUUGGAUGAGCCAAUUAUAGUGGACAUUCAGUGAAUAUGUGAUGCCUCUGCGAUUGAAAAGCAUGGUAGUAAGCUGUUGCACUAUCUUCUUAAAAGACCCACAACUUGGAGAUGGUCCAGAUCUGAGAGCAACCUAACUGAUGCAAGACACAUAAAGGUCACUGGAGCAAAUUCAAAGACAAAGGAAUCUAGAUUUUAUUGUCUAUUUGAGAACCAAUAGUCUUUUCAAGGCUGUUCAGAAAGUUAAGACUACAUUGGAAUUCUACAAGAUGGUGAUUUUGGUCUUCAUAUUUCGGAAUUGGGAAAAGCUCUCAAUGCCGCCAAGCCUUCUUGCCACUGCAAUGUGGGGUCUUUUGUCAUCCUAUCGGCUGAAUCUGUCCGUGUCCCUGAACGUGGCUUAUUCGCGUGGUUAGAGAUUUGUAUAAUAUAAGGUAGAAUAUGGAGAUGGUGAUUAGAUACAAGAUGGUUUGUAUGCGUAGCACAUGUAGAUGACUAACUUCAGCUACACACACUAGUCUCAGCCUGACUGUACUUGAUUAUGUAGUGUUAGAUUCAGGAUUUUUUUUUGGGUGGUAUUAUACACAAGCUAGUCUGUAGGCCAAGUUCAUGAAGUCGUAAUUCACUUCCACAAGGGUUCUUCCUUGGUAUUGCUUUGGCUUGUUCUGUAGUUGUUUGUCUGGACUGAUUUUGAUUGUACUAUGAAAAUGAACAUGAGAGGGAGACUUAGCUCGGCCAUGCUAUCUCAACCUCUAA